GAUGAACGCUGGCGGCGUGCCUAAUACAUGCAAGUCGAGCGAACAGAUGAGGAGCUUGCUCCUCUGACGUUAGCGGCGGACGGGUGAGUAACACGUGGAUAACCUACCUAUAAGACUGGGAUAACUUCGGGAAACCGGAGCUAAUACCGGAUAAUAUAUUGAACCGCAUGGUUCAAUAGUGAAAGACGGUUUUGCUGUCACUUAUAGAUGGAUCCGCGCCGCAUUAGCUAGUUGGUAAGGUAACGGCUUACCAAGGCAACGAUGCGUAGCCGACCUGAGAGGGUGAUCGGCCACACUGGAACUGAGACACGGUCCAGACUCCUACGGGAGGCAGCAGUAGGGAAUCUUCCGCAAAGGGCGAAAGCUUGACGGAGCAACGCCGCGUGAGUGAUGAAGGUCUUCGGAUCGUAAAACUCUGUUAUUAGGGAAGAACAAAUGUGUAAGUAACUAUGCACAUCUUGACGGUACCUAAUCAGAAAGCCACGGCUAACUACGUG
Molecule: ribosomal RNA, 497 nt
Filed under: uncultured bacterium
Lineage: Bacteria
Description: partial 16S ribosomal RNA
Rfam family: Bacterial small subunit ribosomal RNA
Source: RNAcentral